GAUGAAGAACGCAGUGAAAUGCGAUAAGUAAUGUGAAUUGCAGAAUUCAGUGAAUCAUCGAAUCUUUGAACGCAUCUUGCGCUCCUUGGUAUUCUGAGGAGCAUGCCUGUUUGAGUGUCAUUAAAGUUCUCAACCACAUUACUACAUAUGUGGCUUGGAUGUGGGGGUUUGCAGGCUUUCUCUGAGGGUCUGCUCCUCUGAAAUGCAUUAGUGGUAUUCCUGAGCUUUACUACAGAUGUGAUAAUUUAUCUACAUCCCAAAAGUAUGCUUCAGCAACACCGCUCCUAACAAGCGAAAGCACAUUUUGAUGAAUUUGACCUCAAAUCAGGUAGGACUACCCGCUGAACUUAAGCAUAUCAAUAAGCGGAGGA
Molecule: unclassified non-coding RNA, 371 nt
Filed under: soil metagenome
Description: partial contains 5.8S ribosomal RNA, internal transcribed spacer 2, and large subunit ribosomal RNA
Rfam family: 5.8S ribosomal RNA (bases 1-120)
Source: RNAcentral